This 284-nucleotide ribosomal RNA is filed under the name Roseburia inulinivorans DSM 16841. Its description in RNAcentral is "partial 16S ribosomal RNA". It matches the Rfam family "Bacterial small subunit ribosomal RNA", at positions 493 to 776 of the family's 1533-position model. Lineage: Bacteria; Bacillati; Bacillota; Clostridia; Lachnospirales; Lachnospiraceae. The record is from RNAcentral.
UCUUUUCCUUUUGUGCCCGCCGCCGCGGUAAUACGUAUGGUGCAAGCGUUAUCCGGAUUUACUGGGUGUAAAGGGAGCGCAGGCGGAAGGCUAAGUCUGAUGUGAAAGCCCGGGGCUUAACCCCGGUACUGCAUUGGAAACUGGUCAUCUAGAGUGUCGGAGGGGUAAGUGGAAUUCCUAGUGUAGCGGUGAAAUGCGUAGAUAUUAGGAGGAACACCAGUGGCGAAGGCGGCUUACUGGACGAUAACUGACGCUGAGGCUCGAAAGCGUGGGGAGCAAACAGG